GAGGAAUAUUGGUCAAUGGUCGGGAGACUGAACCAGCCAAGCCGCGUGAGGGAAGAAGUAUUUCGGUAUGUAAAGCUCUAUCAGCAGGGAAGAAAGAAAUGACGGUACCUGAGUAAGAAGCCCCGGCUAACUAC
This 134-nucleotide ribosomal RNA is filed under the name uncultured bacterium. RNAcentral describes it as "partial 16S ribosomal RNA". It matches the Rfam family "Bacterial small subunit ribosomal RNA", at positions 356 to 504 of the family's 1533-position model. The record is from RNAcentral.